UGGAUGGAUGGAUGGAUGGAUGGAUGGAUGGAUGAAAGAUGGAUGGAUGGAUGGAUGGUGGUGCGUUCGCUGCUGCUGGGAGACGUCAGGAAGUUGUUCUUCAGAUGCAGCAGAUCAUGGAGCAGAUCUCUGACCAUCAUGGUCACAGAAACACCUUCCAGGAGGUCUGAGGUCCACCUCCUCUCAGCGGGGAGGUCCACCUCCUCUCAGCGGGGAGGUCCACCUCCUCUCAGCGGGGAGCAGGAGGUCUGAGGACCUCCAGGGCGCUGAUGUCAUCACUCCUUGCUUUCCUCAUAGACGUUUUCUUCAGAGCCAAAUGAGGCGUUUCUAUCGGCAGCGACUGAACCUGAGCAGGAAGAACCUCCUUCAGCUUCUGAUUGGCUCCACGUCUUCAGCAGCGUUCCCAUGGAAACGCAUAGAAAACUGGCUAAACAUAAACACAUCAUUCUGACUUUUAGAGUCUAUUUAAGGUCAUUAUCAGAUGCAGUUAUAAACCAAAACUUUACUUUAUGACUUUAAAAAUCUGUUCAGAUCCAAAUCAUCACUUUAUUCUCAUAAUUCAAGCUUUCAGUCAUUUUACUGACUUCAUAAUUAUCAUCAACAUGUGACUUUUGCUUUUCUCUGGAGUGACACAUCUGGGCUUCCAUAGUUUUCCUGACCUGCUGACGGUCAGUGUUAGGAAGGGGGGGUGGGUCAUGGCAGACCUUUAUUUUGAAGUUUCCUGUAGCGUGAGGCGGGCUGUCGAUGUUAGAUCACCAAAUGUGCACUUUUUCACGUUGAUUGUUCUGUUUCAUCACCGCCUCACAGCACAACCCUGACUGGCCACUGCUGCGAUGAUGUAACAGCUGCUGCUACUCCUGAUUGGUCCUCAGCAAACCAGCUCAAUAGGCAAUGAAAAACCAAACAUGUGCUGUUUUUAUUUCCGUGGUGCUGCAGACCAACAUCUGGUUCUUCUUUUAUAUUUGUCACAGAUCAAAGCUCUCGUUUGUUUCUCAUCUUUUCUGCUUCGUUCUGUUAUUUCAAUAAACCGACUUCAUGAACUGUU
Cyprinodon tularosa is the source of this 1045-nucleotide long non-coding RNA. RefSeq lists it as uncharacterized. The transcript is spliced from 2 exons. Lineage: Eukaryota; Metazoa; Chordata; Actinopteri; Cyprinodontiformes; Cyprinodontidae. The record is from RefSeq and is a predicted model, not a curated record.